RNAcentral lists this small RNA (285 nucleotides) under Vibrio crassostreae. Lineage: Bacteria; Pseudomonadati; Pseudomonadota; Gammaproteobacteria; Vibrionales; Vibrionaceae. The record is from RNAcentral.
AAGCCUAAUGGACUAGGUAUCUUCAGGAUGAAGAUUUGAUUACUUAGGAUGAGUAGUCAGCAAGGAAGUAACAAUCUCUGGAUGAGAUUCGCCAGUCAGGAUGACAGGCUAGAAUGGACACCGCUAGGAUGGCGAUGAACAAAAAGGAAAUUGGUUAAAGGAUUUUUUAGCCACUAUCAAGGAAAGAUGCAGGGAGCACCUUAUCUCGAAGAGAUAAACAGUAGCCGGAUUGCUGCGAUAGAGACUUAACCCCGUCAGGCGAAAGCCUAGCGGGGUUUUCUUUUG